This 200-nucleotide long non-coding RNA is filed under the name Elaeis guineensis (African oil palm). RNAcentral's name for it is "long non-coding RNA (EGUI_LNC066198)". The record is from RNAcentral. Lineage: Eukaryota; Viridiplantae; Streptophyta; Magnoliopsida; Arecales; Arecaceae.
CUCUGACUUCAAUUUCAGGUAGACUCCGUCUGGACUCCCACGGGAGCCAGACUUCGCCCCGACUUCACCUACGGGAGCCGGACUCCCGUGGCCCCACCAAGAGCGGAGGAAAAAUCCCACUCAAAAAAGAAAAAGGGGGGAGGGGUUAAGAAGGAAAGCGAUGGACUACGUCAACGACGAAUGAAAAACAAACAGCAUCA